Molecule: ribosomal RNA, 930 nt
Filed under: Parhyale hawaiensis
Lineage: Eukaryota; Metazoa; Arthropoda; Malacostraca; Amphipoda; Hyalidae
Description: 16S ribosomal RNA
Source: RNAcentral
UAGGUGUAAUAAUUUAGUACUAUGAGGAAAAUAUAUUAUCGAAAAGAACUUCCCUUUUGUAUCAGGGUUUAUUUAAUUUUAAAUUAUUACAAUUUUUCGAAAUUUUAUGGUCUAAAUAUGUGUUGUAUAAAAAAUAAUAUUUUUAGUGAUGAAAUGUUUUCGAAUAUAAUUAACUAAUUUUAUACUAUUUUUAUUAAAGGUAAGUUUUAAUUUUAUAAAAUUAAUUAUUAUAAAGUAUAAUAAUACUUAAAAUAGAAUUAAGGGUUUAUUAAUAAUAAAAUUACUAUAGUAUGAAUAAUAUUAUAAAUAACUCGUAAUUUCUUUGAAUGUUUAUCAAAAACAUUUCUUUAUAAAUAUGUUAAGUAAGGCCUGCCCGAUGUAAUUAUGAAUGGCUGCGGUAUUGUGACCGUGCUAAGGUAGCAUAAUCAUUUGUUUUUUAAUUGAAAACUGGUAUGAAAGGUUUAACAAAGAUUGAGUUUUUAAAUAUUUAAUAAAAUUUUAAUUAUAAGUAAAAAUGCUUAUAUAAAAUAAAGGGACGAUAAGACCCUAAAAGCUUUAUUUUUACAGGUAAUUUUUAUUUUGUUUUUAUAUAAAUUUAUUUAGAAAUUUUUAACUGGGGUAGUUUAUUUAUUUUAAUUAAUUUUAAUUAAUACUUAAUGGUUUUAAGAGCCUUUAAAUAAAGAUUAAUAGAAAAAGUUACUUUAGGGCUAACAGCGUAAUAGGUAUUAGAAGUUCUUAUUUAUAUAUUUGAUUGCGACCUCGAUGUUGAAUUAAUGACUCUUUAUAGAGCAGAAUAUAUAAAAAGAAAGUUUGUUCAACUUUAAAAUUAUUACAUGAUUUGAGUUCAAAUCGGUUUAAGCCAGAUUGGUUUCUAUCUUUUGUUUAUAUACUCAAUAAUUUAUUUAGUACGAAAGGAUUAAUAAAUUUUUA